RNAcentral lists this ribosomal RNA (206 nucleotides) under uncultured bacterium. RNAcentral's name for it is "partial 16S ribosomal RNA". It matches the Rfam family "Bacterial small subunit ribosomal RNA", at positions 568 to 774 of the family's 1533-position model. The record is from RNAcentral.
CGCGUAGGCGGUUCGGUAAGUGGGAUGUGAAAGCCCUGGGCUCAACCUGGGAACUGCAUUCCAAACUGCCGAGCUAGAGUGUGGUAGAGGGAGGUAGAAUUUCCUGUGUAGCGGUGAAAUGCGUAGAUAUAGGAAGGAAUACCAGUGGCGAAGGCGGCCUCCUGGAUCAACACUGACGCUGAGGUGCGAAAGCGUGGGAGCAAACA